GAUGAACGCUGGCGGCGUGCCUAAUACAUGCAAGUCGAGCGAACAGACGAGGAGCUUGCUCCUCUGACGUUAGCGGCGGACGGGUGAGUAACACGUGGAUAACCUACCUAUCAGACUGGGAUAACUUCGGGAAACCGGAGCUAAUACCGGAUAAUAUAUUGAACCGCAUGGUUCAAUAGUGAAAGACGGUUUUGCUGUCACGUAUAGAUGCAUCCCCGCCGCAUUAGCUGGUUGGGAAGGUAACGGCUUACCAAGGCAACGAGGCGUAUCCGAGGUGAGAGGGUGAUCGGCCGCACUGGAGGUGGGACACGGUCCAGGCGCCUACGGGAGGCAGCAGUAGGGUAUGUUCCGCAGUGGUCGGAAGCAUGGCGGAGCAACGCCGAGUGAGUGAUGGAGGUCUUCGGAGCGUAAUACUCUGUUAUGAGGGGAAAACAAAUUUGUAAGUAACUAUGCACGUCUUGACGGUACCGGGUCAGAAAGCCACGGCUAACUACGUG
This 497-nucleotide ribosomal RNA is filed under the name uncultured bacterium. RNAcentral describes it as "partial 16S ribosomal RNA". It matches the Rfam family "Bacterial small subunit ribosomal RNA", at positions 28 to 507 of the family's 1533-position model. The record is from RNAcentral.